CUGCUCUCAGGAUCGUCCCUGGAGAGUUUCCAGUACUCUCCCAGUCUCGGCUAUGGGAGGGAGAGUCCAACAGAGGCCUACCUAUUCCAUUCCUAGCUUGGUCAGUGGCCAGCCAGUGGAAGACAAUCUGCUACAGGU
Tachyglossus aculeatus (Australian echidna) is the source of this 138-nucleotide small nucleolar RNA. The record is from RefSeq and is a predicted model, not a curated record. Lineage: Eukaryota; Metazoa; Chordata; Mammalia; Monotremata; Tachyglossidae.